GUGCUCUCUUCAGGAGCACAUAUACUAAAAUUGGAACAAUGGAAAGAUUAGCAUGGCCCCUGAGCAAGGAUGUCACACAAAUUUUUGAAGUGUUCCAUAUUUUU
Molecule: small nuclear RNA, 104 nt
Organism: Jaculus jaculus (lesser Egyptian jerboa)
Lineage: Eukaryota; Metazoa; Chordata; Mammalia; Rodentia; Dipodidae
Source: Ensembl